GAUGAACGCUGGCGGCGUGCCUAAUACAUGCAAGUCGAGCGAACAGACGAGGAGCUUGCUCCUCUGACGUUAGCGGCGGACGGGUGAGUAACACGUGGAUAACCUACCUAUAAGACUGGGAUAACUUCGGGAAACCGGAGCUAAUACCGGAUAAUAUCUUGAACCGCAUGGUUCAAUAGUGAAAGACGGUUUUGCUGUCACUUAUAGAUGGAUCCGCGCCGCAUUAGCUAGUUGGUUAGGUAACGGCUUACCAAGGCAACGAUGCGUAGCCGAUCUGAGAGGGUGAUCGGCCACACUGGAACUGAGACACGGUCCAGACUCCUACGGGAGGCAGCAGUAGGGAAUCUUCCGCAAUGGGCGAAAGCCUGACGGAGCAACGCCGCGUGAGUGAUGAAGGUCUUCGGAUCGUAAAACUCUGUUAUUAGGGAAGAACAAAUGUGUAAGUAACUAUGCACGUCUUGACGGUACCUAAUCAGAAAGCCCCGGCUAACUACGUG
RNAcentral lists this ribosomal RNA (497 nucleotides) under uncultured bacterium. RNAcentral's name for it is "partial 16S ribosomal RNA". It matches the Rfam family "Bacterial small subunit ribosomal RNA", at positions 28 to 507 of the family's 1533-position model. The record is from RNAcentral.